GAUGAACGCUAGCUACAGGCUUAACACAUGCAAGUCGAGGGGAAACGGCAUCGAAAGCUUGCUUUUGAUGGGCGUCGACCGGCGCACGGGUGAGUAGCGCGUAUCCAACCUGCCCAUCACUUGGGAAUAACCUUGCGAAAGUAAGACUAAUGCCCAAUGACAUCCCACGAAGGCAUCCGAAUGGGAUUAAAGAUUUAUCGGUGAUGGAUGGGGAUGCGUCUGAUUAGCUUGUUGGCGGGGUGACGGCCCACCAAGGCAACGAUCAGUAGGGGUUCUGAGAGGAAGGUCCCCCACAUUGGAACUGAGACACGGUCCAAACUCCUACGGGAGGCAGCAGUGAGGAAUAUUGGUCAAGGGGCGAGAGCCUGAACCAGCCAAGUAGCGUGCAGGAUGACGGCCCUAUGGGUUGUAAACUGCUUUUAUAAGGGAAUAAAGUGGGUCACGUGUGACUUUUUGCAUGUACCUUAUGAAUAAGGACCGGCUAAUUCCGUG
RNAcentral lists this ribosomal RNA (492 nucleotides) under uncultured bacterium. RNAcentral describes it as "partial 16S ribosomal RNA". It matches the Rfam family "Bacterial small subunit ribosomal RNA", at positions 28 to 507 of the family's 1533-position model. The record is from RNAcentral.